RNAcentral lists this unclassified non-coding RNA (305 nucleotides) under Hevea brasiliensis (rubber tree). The record is from RNAcentral. Lineage: Eukaryota; Viridiplantae; Streptophyta; Magnoliopsida; Malpighiales; Euphorbiaceae.
AUGUUAAAAUUGAUGAAAGGCAUGAUGGAAGAGACAAACGGCCUAAUGAAGCUCCUGAUAUCCUAACCGGUGGAAGGCAUUAUGAACAGGAGAAAGAAAACACAGAGAAACUAGAAGUUAUGGUUGAUCCUGUUCAUGCCAUGUUAAUUGACAUGAUUCCUAGCCUUGGAAUGAAGAGUGCGGAAACUACGAACCCGAUUCUGGAUCGUGAAAAGCCCCCUGUCGAUCCUACUGCACAGCCUGCAAAGAAAAAGAAAGUCAGCUACAAGGAUAUUAUUGGUGAAAUGUUCAAGGAUUGAUAUGAA